This 73-nucleotide transfer RNA is filed under the name Ailuropoda melanoleuca (giant panda). It matches the Rfam family "tRNA". From Rfam's summary of the family: Transfer RNA (tRNA) molecules are approximately 80 nucleotides in length. Lineage: Eukaryota; Metazoa; Chordata; Mammalia; Carnivora; Ursidae. The record is from Rfam by way of RNAcentral.
GCCUGGCUGGCUCAGUUGGUAGAGCAUGCAACUCUUGAUCUCGUAAUCAUGAGUUCCAGCCCCAUGUUGGGUG